This 429-nucleotide ribosomal RNA is filed under the name uncultured bacterium. Its description in RNAcentral is "bacterial SSU rRNA". It matches the Rfam family "Bacterial small subunit ribosomal RNA", at positions 355 to 775 of the family's 1533-position model. The record is from RNAcentral.
UGGGGAAUAUUGGACAAUGGGCGCAAGCCUGAUCCAGCCAUGCCGCGUGAGUGAUGAAGGCCUUCGGGUCGUAAAGCUCUGUGGGGAGGGAAGAACGCCCAUCCGGUCAAUACCCGGGUGGAGUGACGGUACCUCCUUAGCAAGCACCGGCUAACUCCGUGCCAGCAGCCGCGGUAAUACGGGGGGUGCAAACGUUGCUCGGAAUUAUUGGGCGUAAAGCGCACGUAGGCGGUCUCCUAAGUCGGGUGUGAAAGCCCUGGGCUCAACCCAGGAAGUGCAUUCGAAACUGAGAGGCUUGAGUACGGAAGAGGGUCUCGGAAUUCCCGGUGUAGAGGUGAAAUUCGUAGAUAUCGGGAGGAACACCAGUGGCGAAGGCGGAGACCUGGGCCGAUACUGACGCUGAGGUGCGAAAGCGUGGGGAGCAAACAG